ACGGGAGGCAGCAGUGGGGAAUAUUGGGCAAUGGGCGCAAGCCUGACCCAGCAAUGCCGCGUGAAGGAAGAAGGCUUUCGGGUUGUAAACUUCUUUUAAGUGGGACGAUAAUGACGGUACCACUUGAAUAAGCUCCGGCUAACUACGUGCCAGCAGCCGCGGUAAUACGUAGGGAGCAAGCGUUAUCCGGAUUUACUGGGUGUAAAGGGCGUGUAGGCGGGACAGCAAGUCAGAUGUGAAAGCACGAGGCUCAACUUCGUGUCUGCAUUUGAAACUGCUGUUCUUGAGUGCUGGAGAGGCUAACGGAACUCCUAGUGUAGCGGUGAAAUGCGUAGAUAUUAGGAAGAACACCAGUGGCGAAGGCGGUUAGCUGGACAGUAACUGACGCUGAGGCGCGAAAGCGUGGGUAGCAAACAGGAUUAGAUACCCUGGUA
RNAcentral lists this ribosomal RNA (434 nucleotides) under uncultured Oscillospiraceae bacterium. RNAcentral's name for it is "partial 16S ribosomal RNA". It matches the Rfam family "Bacterial small subunit ribosomal RNA", at positions 341 to 792 of the family's 1533-position model. Lineage: Bacteria; Bacillati; Bacillota; Clostridia; Eubacteriales; Oscillospiraceae. The record is from RNAcentral.